UGUGCUUCAUGAUGUGUCCGUCUUCUGA
This 28-nucleotide non-coding RNA is filed under the name Mus musculus (house mouse). Lineage: Eukaryota; Metazoa; Chordata; Mammalia; Rodentia; Muridae. The record is from RNAcentral.